RNAcentral lists this ribosomal RNA (492 nucleotides) under uncultured bacterium. RNAcentral's name for it is "partial 16S ribosomal RNA". It matches the Rfam family "Bacterial small subunit ribosomal RNA", at positions 29 to 507 of the family's 1533-position model. The record is from RNAcentral.
AGUGAACGCUGGCGGUAGGCCUAACACAUGCAAGUCGAACGGCAGCACAGUAAGAGCUUGCUCUUACGGGUGGCGAGUGGCGGACGGGUGAGGAAUACAUCGGAAUCUACUUUUUCGUGGGGGAUAACGUAGGGAAACUUACGCUAAUACCGCAUACGACCUACGGGUGAAAGCAGGGGAUCUUCGGACCUUGCGCGAUUGAAUGAGCCGAUGUCGGAUUAGCUAGUUGGCGGGGUAAAGGCCCACCAAGGCGACGAUCCGUAGCUGGUCUGAGAGGAUGAUCAGCCCCACUGGAACUGAGACAAGGUCCAGACUCCUACGGGAGGCAGCAGUGGGGAAUAUUGGACAAUGGGGGGAAGCCUGAUCCAGCCAUACCGCGUGGGUGAAGAAGGCCUUCGGGUUGUAAAGCCCUUUUGUUGGGAAAGAAAAGCAGCAGGUUAAUACCCCGCUGUUCUGACGGUAACCAAAGAAUAAGCACCGGCUAACUUCGUG